This 250-nucleotide ribosomal RNA is filed under the name uncultured archaeon. RNAcentral describes it as "partial 16S ribosomal RNA". It matches the Rfam family "Archaeal small subunit ribosomal RNA", at positions 474 to 724 of the family's 1478-position model. The record is from RNAcentral.
UACCCGCGGUCCAAGUCGCAGCCAUUUUAUUGGGUCUAAAACAUCCGUAGCUUGCUUGGUAAGUUCCUUGUGAAAUCCGGCAUCUCAAGUGUCGGGCGCGCGGGGAGUACUGCCAGGCUAGAGACCGGAAGACGUGAGAAGUACGUUCUAAGUAGUGGUAAAAUACGUUAAUCUAGGACGGACUCACAAUAGCGAAGGCAUCUCACGAGGACGGUUCUGACAGUAAGGGAUGAAGGCUAGGGGCGCAAAA